Molecule: long non-coding RNA, 1183 nt
Filed under: Lathyrus oleraceus (garden pea)
Lineage: Eukaryota; Viridiplantae; Streptophyta; Magnoliopsida; Fabales; Fabaceae
Description: Pisum sativum (pea) long non-coding RNA (PSAT_LNC018324)
Source: RNAcentral
AACGCAAUAAUAAACUAAACAACAACAUCAAAUACAUGCAUAUAUUUACAUGAAGAUAAUCCGAAAUAGAAUAUUACACCUUCUAAAUGAAUAUAAUUUAGAGGUGCAACGACAAUGUUACAUUAAUAUAUCGAAAGAAAAAUCAGCGGCAUAACAACAUAUGAGUGUCGAAUCAGCGAAUCAAAAUCCAAUUUACACAUUGUAGCAAAAUCAAACAGCAACAACACAAUUAUUUACAAUGUUCAACAUGUUUACAGAUUAUUACUGUCUCAAAUACAAAAUCGAAUUGAAAACUAAAUGUGACAACCAAACUAAGAACCCAACGACACAACACAAAAAUGGCUCGAAAUCGAAAAGUUACCGAAACGACGUUGUUAAUGCUACCGUUGUUCAAGAUCUUCCCUCCUCCAUGAAUGGGCAUAAAGUGAGUUGCUUGUGUUUUUGAUCUCCAUGAAUCCCAAACGAAACAUUCAUAACAAAAUAGUAGUCACCACUUAUAGAAAUGAAGACGGUGUUGCCAUCGAAACAGGAGCACCUGAGUUACCUUUAUUAACAUGAGUCCACUAUUCAUAACAAGGCAACACAUGUGCUUGUUAGUGCAGAAAAAGGUUAUUGACAUGUGAGUGAAAAACAGAAAAGUGAGUUAUGUGGAUAGUUUCGUUCACCUCACCGACAGGAGUUAAAGCAUGGUAGAAGUAGAAAUGUGGUAGUGAUGAGUUCGUGAGGAGGCUUUCGUUGGUGGUGCUCAAGAAAGGGAUGAAGGUCGAAAGUUUAUGAACAAAAUAAGGUUUCGAGUGAUUGUUUAAAAGGUAGAGAAAUGAGGUUUAUGACGGUGGGGGAAGUCAUUGGUUAGGUUGUGUUUGAAACGAUUGAGUGAGUGAUGUAGAUGUGUUUGUGGUGGUUUGAGUAUAGGUGUAUGAGGGGCUGAGUAGAGUUGAAAGGGAUGGUAGAGUGAGUAUCUGAGAGAGUUGAGUUUGGUUAUGGAGGAUGAGGGUGGAAGAGUCUGGUUCUCGUGGUGGAUUGAAGAGAUGGAAGGUGCGUUGAGUUUUUUACAUGGUGGAUAUUGUGUAGUGUAUUUUGAAGGAGUAGCAGAAAAAUUGAGUGAAGGAGGAAGAAAAGAAAAAGAAAGUCGUGAGCGAGAAGAAGAGCAAAAUGAGAAAAAUGAAAUUGUUUUAUUUUUUUU